UGAUUUUAAUGUCGCAGAUAAACUAGAAAGAUGUCAUUUCUUUGACCUCUAUACCAACGACAAGUUCUUAGUACAGAGGAAAAGGUUAAAACGGCAUCAUGUCAUUUAUCCUAUACCGACAAACAUGUCAUCAGUAUAGGGUUUAUCUUCUUCAGUUACCGUACUCGUUGCCAUUCACAGUAGCCGAACUCCCCUAAUUCUCUCUCGGCGAAGCGGUGACUCCAACACAUUCCACCUUAUUUUAACCGGUAAUAUGUUUAUUGCUUCGGGUUUAUGUUGAUUUCUAAUGCUUUAGGGAGGUUUUUUGAAGUUUUUUGAGGUUUUUGGGUUGAAUUUUGUAGGAAGAUUUGAGUUUUUUUUUCUAGACCAACCAUCACCUCCAUUAUCGACAACCGUCGAUUCUGUACAUUCACCGGAGGUAAGUAAUUCUAGUCCUGAUUUUUUUAUUUUUUUCUCUCUUUUUUUCAUUUUGGUUGUAUGAAACUGAUUCUAGGUAUAAUUUGUUUGUAUGAAACUGAUUUUGAUCAUGUUUUAUGAUUAAGGUUCAUGAUUUUAGGUAUAAUUUAUUUUUAUUUUGUGUUUAGAUGUGUUGUAUGAAAGUGGUUUUUAUGAUUGAAGGAAAGUGGAAUUGGAUGCCUAAAA
This is a non-coding RNA of Lactuca sativa (garden lettuce), 642 nucleotides long. The record is from RefSeq and is a predicted model, not a curated record. NCBI's taxonomy places the organism in Eukaryota, Viridiplantae, Streptophyta, Magnoliopsida, Asterales, Asteraceae.